This 253-nucleotide ribosomal RNA is filed under the name uncultured bacterium. RNAcentral's name for it is "partial 16S ribosomal RNA". It matches the Rfam family "Bacterial small subunit ribosomal RNA", at positions 524 to 776 of the family's 1533-position model. The record is from RNAcentral.
UACGUAGGGUGCGAGCGUUAAUCGGAAUUACUGGGCGUAAAGCGUGCGCAGGCGGUUGUGUAAGACAGGUGUGAAAUCCCCGGGCUUAACCUGGGAAUGGCAUUUGUGACUGCACGGCUAGAGUGUGUCAGAGGGGGGUAGAAUUCCACGUGUAGCAGUGAAAUGCGUAGAUAUGUGGAGGAAUACCGAUGGCGAAGGCAGCCCCCUGGGAUAACACUGACGCUCAUGCACGAAAGCGUGGGGAGCAAACAGG